GGGAGAAGAAACAAAGAUUCUUCUCCUCUGUUCCACUCACGCCACACACACACACAGUGGGAAUGAGAGGGGCUCAGUUCUCCUCUUUCUCCUCUCUUUAUUUUUUCCUUUGCUUCUUACCCACACAGCACACACGCACUCACACACACAGAGAGGGAGAAAGAGAGAUGCGGAGGGAAGAGUGCGAGAGAGAAAAGAGAACGGGAGAGGGAGAGGGGGAGCGGGAGACG
This 230-nucleotide long non-coding RNA is filed under the name Elaeis guineensis (African oil palm). RNAcentral describes it as "long non-coding RNA (EGUI_LNC082487)". Lineage: Eukaryota; Viridiplantae; Streptophyta; Magnoliopsida; Arecales; Arecaceae. The record is from RNAcentral.